RNAcentral lists this long non-coding RNA (293 nucleotides) under Olea europaea (common olive). RNAcentral's name for it is "long non-coding RNA (OEUR_LNC014791)". The record is from RNAcentral. Lineage: Eukaryota; Viridiplantae; Streptophyta; Magnoliopsida; Lamiales; Oleaceae.
UUGUGCGUGAUAUUGCAACAUAGACCAUGAGGGGCCAAGAAAAGAACGCAAAAGCAUAGAAGAAUUAUGGCUGCCAUGAUUUCUUGUGGGAUGAUGAGAAAAAUAAAAUGAAGCUCAUUUAUAACGUCUUGGUCCAAGAAACUACAAUUUACUUGGAAAACAUGGGAAUCAUGAAUGGAUUUUUAGGUUGAAGGUGCUAUUUCCCUUUGUAAAAAUUAGGUUAUUUUUUGGUUGGUUGCUGGGAAAAAAGAAAAAUGAAUUAUGAAAUUAGGUUAGUUGAUUUAUGAAAAUUA